This is a long non-coding RNA of Amphiprion ocellaris (clown anemonefish), 908 nucleotides long. NCBI's taxonomy places the organism in Eukaryota, Metazoa, Chordata, Actinopteri, Pomacentridae. The record is from Ensembl.
GAUCCAGUCUUCUAUAUAUAUCGAUGGUCGGAACGUCUGGUAGCAUCUCUGGCUGCUGUUGACCUUGUUUUUGGAGUAAAACACGAUGUUCAGAGGGAGAUGAUGCCACAUCUGGUCCAGCUGAUGGAAGGUCUUGAAGUUCUCUGACUGGCCUCGACUGAAGAUGGUCGUCUCACUGGAUUUAAGAUGCACAAUGAGGGACGUCUGCAGAGACUGAGAAAGAGUCUCACCACAUCCUGACAUGAGGAAAAAGACUUUAUUGAAGACUACAAUGAGAAAAACUAUCAGACAGCAGACGGCUGCAUUCAAGUCUGUAGCUGCUGAAUUCAUGGAUGAAUCAUCUGGCACUCGAGAGGAAGACCAUCAAACAUCCACAUCAGCUGAUGGAGGUCCAAGAGUCUCACCCAACAAACAACCUACAGAGUGAAGACCUCAAAUCUGAUUGGACGGCCUCCUAUUCAGCCACAUGUGUGAACAAAUGCCUCUAAGCUGAUUUGUUUUCUAAAAUAAAUCUAGUUUGAGUUCUAAUCUAUGCCUGAGUGUUUGCUUCUUUACACCGCUGUUAACAGUUUAGGCUGUUAGAUUGUUCCAGAUAAGACAAGUACAAGAUUCUUCAGAGCCGUUCUACCACGAGCCUGACAGGAAGAACUCCAACAUCUACUGAAUGUUCCUGUGGUUCCCUCAAGGCUACAGGAGGAGUCCUACGAGGACGAGCCGGUCCACCUGAUGGUGGCCAGUCGCAGCGGUUCAAAGCCAACACCGACUACGUGGACUUCUACUGGACCACACGGAGGCCUUCAAACCAGACCAACAAGUUCAGCGACUCCCCAACUCGUGGGUCUGAGGACGCCGCCGAGCCUCGGUCCAGCCGGCCUCCUGUCUGUGGGUGUUUGAGUGCUGAGAGGUUU